Molecule: long non-coding RNA, 1230 nt
Filed under: Homo sapiens (human)
Lineage: Eukaryota; Metazoa; Chordata; Mammalia; Primates; Hominidae
Description: HSALNT0370261
Source: RNAcentral
AUUUAUUGGCUCAGCCUAGGUCACAUGACUUGCCCUUGCCCCGGAUGUGGUCUCCCCUGGAUGUGUUUCCACCACAGGUUGGAGAAGAGAAUCCCCAACCCCAGCCUGUGAGAAGUUGCUAGAAAAAGAGAAUAUUUGUUUAAAGGAAAAAGGAAAGUGUUUGCUCUCAUAUCUCUCUGACACGUUUGUCGUGUGGAUAAUGAGGUGAAAUAAAGAUUGGUACAACUACCUAGCAAAAGUGGCGCAUGCUGGGGAAUGUCAGUUUUCUGUCAGUGUCUCCUCUCUGGCAAUUCUUUGGCUAUUGCUGCUUUCUCUUUGUUCUUUUGAGAUUUUGUACGCUUUGCAACAAUUCCUCAAUUGAUGCUUCUAUCUCCAGUUCCAACUUCUCGUCAUAGUUUUAGUCCUGCGUUUCCAACGACUUUUGAUCAUUUUGAAUUAGUUAUUGCAGUGCAACCUACAGAUCAACACAUCAAAAACCCAGCUUAUCAUCUGGAUCCUUAAAUAAGAUCCUCAUUCCUGAAUCCUUCCCUUCUGCUCUUGGGUCCCACGCAUCCCAGCAGAAAACGUCUGCUCACAGGAGCAAUCCUUCCUUUCCAAGUGGACCACUUCCUAUGUCUGAGUUAUUGAGAGAAAUUGCCCUGGAGCAUUGCUGCAGUGGAAAAAGAGACCAGUAGAUCUUCACUUCAAGGGAAUUCUGGAUUUUGAUUUUUUUCCCUUGCCUUAUGUCUCUUUAUUCAUGCUUAUAAGAGGUGUGAAAAGUUGGGGGAAUCCUACCUGGUAUGGUUAAGAGAAUAGCAAGCAAUUUAGACAAUGCCAUGAAGGCCACUGCAGGGUACCAGAAUUGUCACCCCAAAAUAUGUCACUUUGGCAUAAGAAUUAUUUUGAGCUGAAGGAAACUGAGAAAUAGCAGGCACAGGAAGAAUUCUCUGCUCUCCCCUUUUUUGCUUAAAAGCAGGACUUAUAUUUCCCUUUGUAAAACUGACAUAAAUUUCUAUUUGUAAAGGUGUUCCCCGUAUUAGGAAGAGAAGGAUGACUCUCUUCAUAACAAACCUUACUAAACAACCCUUAUUUACCAUACAAGUUCUAGUCACCUUCCCACAGUUUGCUGCCCCUAGGAGCCUAAACCCCAACUUUCCUUUGUCUUGUUACUUCUCUCACGCAGGAUUUAGUGCCCGUUGUUAAAAUGGUAUAUAAUCCUCCAGGGCUAACUGCUUGUUUGGGGUCUUCACU